UACGGAGGAUGCAAGCGUUAUCCGGAUUUAUUAGGUUUAAAGGGUGCGUAGGCGGACUUGUAAGUCAGCGGUGAAAUACUACAGCUUAACUGUAGAACUGCCGUUGAUACUGUGAGUCUUGAGUAUAGUUGAGGUAGGCGGAAUGUGUAGUGUAGCGGUGAAAUGCUUAGAUAUUACACAGAACACCGAUUGCGAAGGCAGCUUACUAAGCUAUAACUGACGCUGAGGCACGAAAGCAUGGGGAGCAAACAGGAUUA
RNAcentral lists this ribosomal RNA (257 nucleotides) under uncultured prokaryote. RNAcentral describes it as "partial 16S ribosomal RNA". It matches the Rfam family "Bacterial small subunit ribosomal RNA", at positions 524 to 780 of the family's 1533-position model. The record is from RNAcentral.